AUUGAAUGCUGGCGGCAUGCUUUACACAUGCAAGUCGAACGGCAGCGCGGGCUUCGGCCUGGCGGCGAGUGGCGAACGGGUGAGUAAUGCAUCGGAACGUGCCCAGUAGUGGGGGAUAGCCCGGCGAAAGCCGGAUUAAUACCGCAUACGACCUGAGGCUGAAAGCGGGGGACCAAAGGUCUGCGCGCGAUUGGGGCGGCCGUGGUGGGGUUAUCGAGUUGUUGGGGUAAAGGCUUACCACGGCGACGAUCCGUGGCUGGUCUGAGAGGACGACCAGCCACACUGUGGCUGAGACACGGCCCAGACUCCUACGGGAGGCAGCAGUGGGGAAUUUUGGACAAUGGGGGCAACCCUGUGCCAGCCAUGCCGCGUGCGGGAAGAAGGCCUUCGGGUUGUAAACCGCUUUUGUUCGGGAAGAAAUCCUCUGGGCUAAUACCCCGGGGGGAUGACGGUACCGGAAGAAUAAGCACCGGCUAACUACGU
RNAcentral lists this ribosomal RNA (483 nucleotides) under uncultured bacterium. RNAcentral describes it as "partial 16S ribosomal RNA". It matches the Rfam family "Bacterial small subunit ribosomal RNA", at positions 28 to 506 of the family's 1533-position model. The record is from RNAcentral.